Molecule: ribosomal RNA, 253 nt
Filed under: uncultured bacterium
Lineage: Bacteria
Description: partial 16S ribosomal RNA
Rfam family: Bacterial small subunit ribosomal RNA
Source: RNAcentral
UACGUAGGGGGCAAGCGUUGUCCGGAUUUAUUGGGCGUAAAGAGCGUGUAGGCGGCCAAACAGGUCCACUGUGAAAACUCGAGGCUCAACCUCGAGAGGUCGGUGGAAACCGUCUGGCUAGAGUCCGGAAGAGGAGAGUGGAAUUCCCGGUGUAGCGGUGAAAUGCGUAGAUAUCGUAAGGAAGACCAGCGGCGAAGGCGGGUCUCUGGACAGUUCCUGACACUGAGGCACGAAGGCCAGGGGAGCAAACGGG